CAAACGUUGCCAGGAAAGAUAAACUUUUUCGCAAUUACAUCUGAUGCCAUACAUCAAAAAUUUCUAAACAAAAAAACCCUACCUAUGGGUCAGUUCGUGAAGUAACUUUUGCUACUUCAAUCUGAUGAGGUGAAUUUGAAAGUUAAGGCGGCGGUGGAGAUUCGACAGCUUACUAAGAUCUUGCAGCGCUACCGCCGUCAUUUCUCCGGUGCCAUGAAGCUGCUUGUCGACGUGCUCCUUUGCGACUCUAUUGAAGCCAAAUAGGCGACACUUGCUGCUCUUCUUAACCUCGCAGUCAAGGAUGAAACGUAAGGAAAAGUCUAUCUAUUAUAUUAUAUGCCUUCCAUGUAUAUUCGUAGGUAGAUUUCACUUGUAGACUCAAAUUGAGGUGAGCAUUGGGGUUUAGAGCUAGAGUCUUUGAAUUUAAAUCCGUUAAAUAGUUUGAUUAUUGAUUUCACCCCCAAAUUUAAUAAUCUGGAGAUUGAAAAAUGGAUUUUGGUUCUUGUAAUCAAUAUCCUGAAUUUUUUUUUUUUUCACUUUUAUAGGAUUGGUCGUUUUUUUGUCUAAUUUAUUGCUCAAAAUUUCUAAUUUUGGAGAAUGAAAUCAUGAUUCUGGUGUCUCUUAAUCAAUACCCUAAAAAGGUUUCAUUUUUAUUGGAUUGGUUAUUGAUUUAUCUAAUUAAGCUCUUCGUUUUAGGGAUUGGUCGGAAGGGGUCAGUUUUUGAUUUGUCUAAUUAAGCUCUAAUUAAAUCGCAAAAGUUACUUUUUUAUUGUGGAUUUAUUUGUAUAAAAUUUCUAUGGGUCAGUUUGUGAAGUGUUUUCUGUCUUUUGAUUACCUAUGUGUUCAUUAAAAAAAAAAAAAAAAAAAAAAAAGGCUGAACCGCCCCAUCUCCCCGCCCCUAGAUGUGAGGUGGUUGUUUGAAACUGAACACAUUUUGAAUACUGCAAUGUGUUUCUUUGAUAGAUUGGGGAAUCUGCAAAAGGACUAGGUGCUUCAAGUGAGGAAUAUAAGCUUCCAUCUC
RNAcentral lists this long non-coding RNA (1021 nucleotides) under Olea europaea subsp. europaea. The record is from RNAcentral. Lineage: Eukaryota; Viridiplantae; Streptophyta; Magnoliopsida; Lamiales; Oleaceae.